RNAcentral lists this ribosomal RNA (251 nucleotides) under uncultured bacterium. RNAcentral's name for it is "partial 16S ribosomal RNA". It matches the Rfam family "Bacterial small subunit ribosomal RNA", at positions 524 to 776 of the family's 1533-position model. The record is from RNAcentral.
UACGUAGGUGGCAAGCGUUGUCCGGAUUUACUGGGCGUAAAGAGCGCGCAGGCGGUCGUUCAAGUCGAGUGUGAAAGCCCCCGGCUCAACUGGGGAGGUCACUCGAUACUGAUCGACUCGAAGGCAGAAGAGGGAAGCGGAAUUCCCGGUGUAGUGGUGAAAUGCGUAGAUAUCGGGAGGAACACCAGUGGCGAAGGCGGCUUCUGGUCUGCUCUUGACGCUGAGGCGCGAAAGCUAGGGUAGCAAACGGG